ACAUCUUUAAUUGAGUGUUUAUUUCAUUCAAUAUUUAAAUUUGGUUUUUCAGUCAAGAAUCAUUAUCCUGAAUACUUUUUAUUUCGAUUACUGCAUCAUUAACGCUUUCUUCCGCAGAACACAAGGGAAAAUGCUUUAGUGUUUACUAUAUUAACUAUGAAAUUUGAAAUGAAAAGCAUUGCCCCGUCGGUUUCCAUUGUGAAGACAACAAAAACGCGUUCGUCAAAACGAUUGUUGUUUUCCACAGAUAAAAGAAAAUCAUACAUAUGAUAACAGAUUUUUUUUUGGUGAAUCUAUCCCAUUAAGUGUCUAAAGGCCACCUGGUUGUAACGGUGCUGUGAUGAUUCUUCUCUCUUCAGUACGAGCGCGGCUCAGACGAGUCAGCGAAACCCCGGCGCCUCCACCCACAGCAUUAGUAGCGCGACUCCCCCGGACCGCCUGCGCUUCCCACGAGGCACGCUGAGCCGCAGCACCUUCCACGGAGGCCAACUGAGGGAGCGGCGCACGGCCACCUACAACGGACCCCCGGCCUCUCCGACCUUAUCACACGACGCCACGCCGCUCUCACAGUCCCGGAGCCGCGGAUCAACAAACCUCUUCACGAAGCUCACAUCCAAGCUCACGCGCAGAAAUAUGUCAUUCAGGUUUACCAAAAGGUAGGACCCUCGAUGGGCUGUGUGCAGUUAAUUAGCGCUGAAAUACCAAGAUUAACUCUUAACCCUAGUGUGAAGACGUUUCCGAUUAAUCGCUUGUCACUCACCUUUGACACACGCCGUCUCUUAAUGGGAGCGCGACUGAGCAUGCCUGAGACUUCUGCUGUUUUCUGACGGGCAGCACCUCACAGACAUUACUAAUCACCCAUGCAUGCCUGUUCACAGGUUACAACUGAGCACAAUAGAUCCAUUAGACUCCUUAUUAGAUCCUCAUUUUCCAUUCACAUCUUUUAUCUUCAAGGAGAAAGGAUGUGCGUUUUGUUCGGUUAGAUGAUAAACUGCAGCAUUCAAUAGUGGGAACAUUAGUUGAAAAUGAUAUUCUUCAGUAAGCCAUGAAGAAUUAAAAAUUUAAAUUAAAUUAAACUUCAAUUAAAGUUUAAAUUUAUAUGCAAUUGAAUAAAACAUAAUAAUAAUAAUAAUAAUUUUGAAUAU
Puntigrus tetrazona (Sumatra barb) is the source of this 1145-nucleotide long non-coding RNA. RefSeq lists it as uncharacterized. The transcript has 2 exons. Lineage: Eukaryota; Metazoa; Chordata; Actinopteri; Cypriniformes; Cyprinidae. The record is from RefSeq and is a predicted model, not a curated record.